This 2680-nucleotide ribosomal RNA is filed under the name Acinetobacter baumannii WC-A-92. Its description in RNAcentral is "bacterial LSU rRNA". It matches the Rfam family "Bacterial large subunit ribosomal RNA". The record is from RNAcentral. Lineage: Bacteria; Pseudomonadati; Pseudomonadota; Gammaproteobacteria; Moraxellales; Moraxellaceae.
AGUCAAGUAAUUAAGUGCAUGUGGUGGAUGCCUUGGCAGUCAGAGGCGAUGAAAGACGUGAUAGCCUGCGAAAAGCUCCGGGGAGGCGGCAAAUAUCCUUUGAUCCGGAGAUGUCUGAAUGGGGGAACCCACCUACUUUAAGGUAGGUAUUGCAACAUGAAUACAUAGUGUUGCAAGGCGAACGAGGGGAAGUGAAACAUCUCAGUACCCUUAGGAAAAGAAAUCAAUUGAGAUUCCCUCAGUAGCGGCGAGCGAACGGGGAUCAGCCCAUUAAGUUAUGUGUGUUUUAGUGGAACGCUCUGGGAAGUGCGAACGUAGAGGGUGAUAUUCCCGUACACGAAAGGGCACACAUAAUGAUGACGAGUAGGGCGAGGCACGUGAAACCUUGUCUGAAUAUGGGGGGACCAUCCUCCAAGGCUAAAUACUCCUGACUGACCGAUAGUGAACCAGUACCGUGAGGGAAAGGCGAAAAGAACCCCUGUGAGGGGAGUGAAAUAGAUCCUGAAACCGCAUGCAUACAAGCAGUGGGAGCACCUUCGUGGUGUGACUGCGUACCUUUUGUAUAAUGGGUCAGCGACUUAUAUUCAGUAGCAGGUUAACCGUAUAGGGGAGCCGUAGAGAAAUCGAGUCUUAAUAGGGCGUUUAGUUGCUGGGUAUAGACCCGAAACCAGGCGAUCUAUCCAUGAGCAGGUUGAAGGUUGGGUAACACUAACUGGAGGACCGAACCCACUGUCGUUGAAAAGCCAGGGGAUGACUUGUGGAUAGGGGUGAAAGGCUAAUCAAGCCUGGUGAUAGCUGGUUCUCCCCGAAAGCUAUUUAGGUAGCGCCUCGGACGAAUACCAUAGGGGGUAGAGCACUGUUUCGGCUAGGGGGUCAUCCCGACUUACCAAACCGAUGCAAACUCCGAAUACCUAUGAGUACUAUCCGGGAGACAGACUGCGGGUGCUAACGUCCGUAGUCAAGAGGAAAACAAUCCAGACCGCCAGCUAAGGCCCCAAAAUCAUAGUUAAGUGGGAAACGAUGUGGGAAGGCAUAGACAGCUAGGAGGUUGGCUUAGAAGCAGCCACCCUUUAAAGAAAGCGUAAUAGCUCACUAGUCGAGUCGGCCUGCGCGGAAGAUGUAACGGGGCUAAAACUAUGUGCCGAAGCUGCGGAUGUAUACUUUGUAUACGUGGUAGGGGAGCGUUCUGUAAGCCGAUGAAGGUGUGUUGAGAAGCAUGCUGGAGGUAUCAGAAGUGCGAAUGCUGACGUGAGUAACGACAAAACGGGUGAAAAACCCGUUCGCCGAAAGACCAAGGGUUCCAGUCCAACGUUAAUCGGGGCUGGGUGAGUCGACCCCUAAGGCGAGGCCGAAAGGCGUAGUCGAUGGGAAAAUGGUUAAUAUUCCAUUACUUCUGUGUAAUGCGAUGAGAGGACGGAGAAGGCUAAAUCAGCCUGGCGUUGGUUGUCCAGGUGAAAGGAUGUAGGCAUGUAUCUUAGGCAAAUCCGGGGUACUCUAUGCUGAGAUCUGAUAGCAAGCUGUACUUGUACAGCGAAGUGGUUGAUGCCAUGCUUCCAGGAAAAGUCUCUAAGCUUCAGUUACACAGGAAUCGUACCCGAAACCGACACAGGUGGUCAGGUCGAGUAGACCAAGGCGCUUGAGAGAACUCUGCUGAAGGAACUAGGCAAAAUGGUACCGUAACUUCGGGAGAAGGUACGCUGUUGUUGGUGAUGGAACUCGCUUCCUGAGCUGACGACAGCCGCAGAAACCAGGCCGCUGCAACUGUUUAUUAAAAACAUAGCACUCUGCAAACACGAAAGUGGACGUAUAGGGUGUGAUGCCUGCCCGGUGCUGGAAGGUUAAUUGAUGGGGUUAGCGUAAGCGAAGCUCUUGAUCGAAGCCCCAGUAAACGGCGGCCGUAACUAUAACGGUCCUAAGGUAGCGAAAUUCCUUGUCGGGUAAGUUCCGACCUGCACGAAUGGCAUAAUGAUGGCGGCGCUGUCUCCAGCAGAGGCUCAGUGAAAUCGAAAUCGCUGUGAAGAUGCAGUGUACCCGCGGCUAGACGGAAAGACCCCGUGAACCUUUACUGCAGCUUGACACUGAACUUUGACCUUACUUGUGUAGGAUAGGUGGGAGGCUUUGAAGCUGGAACGCUAGUUCCAGUGGAGCCGUCCUUGAAAUACCACCCUGGUAAUGUUGAGGUUCUAACUCUGUCCCGUGAUCCGGGACGAGGACCGUGUCUGGUGGGUAGUUUGACUGGGGCGGUCUCCUCCUAAAGAGUAACGGAGGAGUACGAAGGUGCGCUCAGCGUGGUCGGAAAUCACGCGUAGAGUAUAAAGGCAAAAGCGCGCUUAACUGCGAGACCCACAAGUCGAGCAGGUACGAAAGUAGGUCUUAGUGAUCCGGUGGUUCUGUAUGGAAGGGCCAUCGCUCAACGGAUAAAAGGUACUCUGGGGAUAACAGGCUGAUACCGCCCAAGAGUUCAUAUCGACGGCGGUGUUUGGCACCUCGAUGUCGGCUCAUCUCAUCCUGGGGCUGAAGCAGGUCCCAAGGGUAUGGCUGUUCGCCAUUUAAAGAGGUACGCGAGCUGGGUUUAGAACGUCGUGAGACAGUUCGGUCCCUAUCUACCGUGGGCGCUGGAAAUUUGAGAGGAUCUGCUCCUAGUACGAGAGGACCAGAGUGGACGAACCUCUGGUGUACC